RNAcentral lists this long non-coding RNA (2282 nucleotides) under Macaca fascicularis (crab-eating macaque). RNAcentral describes it as "lncRNA (ENSMFAG00000063542.1)". Lineage: Eukaryota; Metazoa; Chordata; Mammalia; Primates; Cercopithecidae. The record is from RNAcentral.
CCAGUGGCCUUCACCCUGGACUCGGCCUCUUUCUGGAUCCUAGUGGUCUCACCCUGGACUCGGCCUCAGUCCCCACACUGGGUCCCAGUGGCCUUCACCCUGGACUCGGCCUCUUUCUGGAUCCUAGUGGUCUCACCCUGGACUCGGCCUCAGUCCCCACACUGGGUCCCAGUGGCCUUCACCCUGGACUCGGCCUCUUUCUGGAUCCUAGUGGUCUCACCCUGGACUCGGCCUCUUUCUGGAUCCUAGUGGUCUCACCCUGGACUCGGCCUCAGUCCCCACACUGGGUCCCAGUGGCCUUCACCCUGGACUCGGCCUCUGCCUCCACGCCGGGUCCCAGUGGUCUCACCCUGGACUCAGCCUCAUGCUGGGUCCUGGUGGCCUUCACCCUGUACUUGGUCUCUGCCUUGAGGCUGAAUCUUGGGGGGCAAACUCAGACCAUUCUUAAUUUUACCUUUUACUGACGAGAUGAGAAGCAGUUCCACUUUUCAGUUCCUGCCAGUUCUAGAGUUUCUGGCUCCCAACACACCCUCUGCAUUCUGUACAUAAGCAGCCAGCUGUUUUCUGGGUUCCUGUCCCUAGUGGUGCCUUAUCAAGGGCAGUUAGUCAUAAUAAGCGAAUCUGGCAACUUGAGGUGCAUUUUCUGUUAUGUGGCUUGUUGUGGGCAGCUGCUUUUUCCACCAUUACAUAACAGGUCUUAAUUUUUCUAGCCUGAACCAGUUUCCUACCUGUCUGUGGCCUCGUCUGUGGCCAGGGCUUCUCCCUUCAGUUCUUUUAUAGCAGCACCCCCAUCUGCUGGCAGUUUCCAUUUGAGGCAGGGUUUUUGCUAUGAUAAUUCUGCAUAAGAAACAAUCCCCACAUUCCCAUAGCUUUCACCAUCAACUUUUAUUUCUCACGGGGCUGGGGAGGUCGAAGCAGUUCUGCCCCUGCCACAGGUGAGCCCAGCCGGGCCUGCCCCACAGUCUUGUUCUGGGGCCAGCAGGAUCCCAGGAACACUUUGGCCUCGCCAGGUGGUGGAACAAACAGCAAACACAUAUUCAAAGCCCAUGCCUUGAAGUCAGUAUUUUACACAUUUUCUUCAGCUUUUAUCAUUGUUUUAGGCAGAAAGGUCAGAAUGAUAGAAGCUACCCUGCCAUUGCCAGAAGUUGGAAGUGGUGCACAACUUUGAUGAACAGAAAAUUCCUUCAAGUAAUCAAGUCUGACAAUUCUGUAUUCAUUUUACUGUUGUAUCUUUUUCUAAAAUACACACAGGUGUAUCUCUUGCAACUUAUGAUUUUCUUGCAAAAUUUUCUCCAGUGAUUCUUCUUCUAAUGUCUAUUUCAUGUUUUAUUCUAAUAAUUGAGAACUGCAUUAUUGUUGAUAACAAGGUGAUAUUACAGUUUUGUUCCAUCCAGUAAGACACUGGUUUUACUUUUAGAUAUUUUUACCAUGCUGACAUGACAUUUGUCUAUUUCUGCUUUCAAAGAGCUUUUAAAAAUCAGGAAAGGCCAUUGCAAGUAAUGAAAAUAUUUUUACCAUCUCUUGAGAUUAUUUUACAACUAUUAUCUUUUGGAUUAAAAUUGGGCCAUCCUUGAAUUACUAGGAUGAUGCCUACGUGUUCUUGGUGGAUUAUUCUCCUACUAUUCUGCUGAAUUUGCUAAUAUUUUACUUGAAAUUUCCCAGUCUGUAUUCAAAAUGAGAAGAAUCCAUGGUUUUACUUUUUCUUUUUUUAUAUUUGUGAGAUUUCAAUAUGAUGAUCAGAAUAAUGGUAGCUUCAUAAAAUGAAUUAAAUAUCUUUCUGUCUUCUUCUACACUCUGAGAUAAUUAAGGUAGCAUGAAAAUGAUCUAUUCUCUCAAAAAAAUAAUAAAAUUUAUAAAAUGCCAGUGAAGAGGAAUUCUCCAUCCCUCUUUCUCUACCUCCUCUUGUCCUUCCUUCCUUCUAUCUUUCUUCUUUUAAUGACUGUUUUUACUGCUAUGAAUUUAUCUUUUAGUGCAGCUUUGGCCUUUCUCUCCUAAAUUUUGAUAUGUAACAUUCUUGUUUUCUCAAUAGUAUGCACAUGAAACUACAUAUAUAAUCCCCAAUUAUGUGCCUUACAGAGAACAGACCUUCUUUCACAUGUAUUCAUAACAAAUAUAAAAACUUGGCAGGCACCUGUAGUCCCAGCUACUCGGGAGGCCGAGGCAGGAGAAUGGUGUGAACCCAGGAGGUGGAGCUUGCAGUGAGCCGAGAUUGUGCCACUGCACUCCAGCUUGGAUGAUAGGGCAAGACUCCGUCUCAAAAAAAAAAAAAAAAAAAAAAAAAA